CUCCUAAAGUGUAACGGAGGCGCCCAAAGGUUCCCUCAGCCUGGUUGGCAAUCAGGUGGUGAGUGUAAGUGCACAAGGGAGCUUGACUGUGAGACUGACAGGUCGAGCAGGGACGAAAGUCGGGACUAGUGAUCCGGCACCUACUUGUGGAAGUGGUGUCGCUCAACGGAUAAAAGGUACCCCGGGGAUAACAGGCUGAUCUUCCCCAAGAGUCCAUAUCGACGGGAUGGUUUGGCACCUCGAUGUCGGCUCGUCGCAUCCUGGGGCUGGAGUAGGUCCCAAGGGUUGGGCUGUUCGCCCAUUAAAGCGGCACGCGAGCUGGGUUUAGAACGUCGUGAGACAGUUCGGUCUCUAUCCGCCGCGCGCGUUGAAACUUGAAGAAGGCUGUCCCUAGUACGAGAGGACCGGGACGGACGUACCUCUAGUGUGCCAGUUGUCACGCCAGUGGCAGGGCUGGUUGGCUACGUACGGGAGGGAUAACCGCUGAAAGCAUCUAAGCGGGAAGCCUGUUUUGAGAUGAGGUUUCUUUUGAGGUUCCCUCUAGACUAGGGGGUUGAUAGGCCAGAUCUGGAAGCGUAGUAAUGCGUUAAGGUGACUGGUACUAAUUUUACCGAGUAAUAACA
This 623-nucleotide ribosomal RNA is filed under the name Corynebacterium diphtheriae. RNAcentral describes it as "bacterial LSU rRNA". It matches the Rfam family "Bacterial large subunit ribosomal RNA", at positions 2287 to 2925 of the family's 2925-position model. Lineage: Bacteria; Bacillati; Actinomycetota; Actinomycetes; Mycobacteriales; Corynebacteriaceae. The record is from RNAcentral.